Molecule: unclassified non-coding RNA, 2851 nt
Filed under: Hevea brasiliensis (rubber tree)
Lineage: Eukaryota; Viridiplantae; Streptophyta; Magnoliopsida; Malpighiales; Euphorbiaceae
Source: RNAcentral
GUCAAACUCCCACAUAAAAAACACUUAAUGUAGGUAAUUUGGAGCUCCAAUCAACCUCUACAUAGAGUUGCAAUAAGUUGUCUCCGAAUUGCUACUCAGAGAGAGCACCAACUUCCAGUACUCAUGAGAAAAUCACAAAAUUAAUAUAGAUUCUCGUGAAAGGAUGAACUUUUAAGGAGGAAACAAUUAAGAUAAUCCACAAACAACAUGAAAUGCCGUGUCUUCUUCUUCUGCAUAUAUUUUCUUCUAUUUGCAGUCUAAUUCAAAGAAAACGCAUUUUCUCAAUAAUUAAAAAGCCGGAGAGUCACGUCCUCACAUUGUAAUGUGCGCAGCCCGUCAUUUCAAGGAUUGAGAAAAUAUCAGGCCAUGGUCUUGAAUAGAAAUAUCUUAAUGCAGAAACUACAAAUUCAACAUAGCUUCUUAACCGAUCACAUAUUUCUGCUGGUCAUAUACUUGAAACCUGCCAACCCAUUCACUAAGUUACAUGCGCUCUUUAAAAUCAACGAGCGCAAAAGUGCAUUUCUUAAGAAGCCUAACGGGUUCAAAUUCCUCGUGUUUCUGCCCUCUGGUUCACCAGGCAAGGGAAGGCUGAACAUAAAAAUUCCCUAGACACUGCUUCUGCCACGUAACAAACUAUUCUGAAACCUCUUUUUAGUGAAACCCAAACUGACACAGAAACUGCUACUGUAUACUGAAAUCUAAGCUUAAGUAACACGCCAAUUCCCUGAAUGUAUUGAAUAUUUAGGCAUACGUAUGGAGCAGCAGGAAACAUUGCAUUGGUUUUUUUACCGAACUAUCAGCUCCAAGUAGCAGCAAUUUAAAUAAUAAUUUUUCAAGAGCAGCUUCAGUAUCCAGUCCUCUUCAAAUAAUUUUCACUUAAGUAUGAAACAGAAUGUGCAGGAAAGAUAACUUUGCAUGUUUAGCACUCUUAAUGAAGUACACAAGGCAGAUAUCUACUAGGCAUUCUCCACUAACAGUCCAUCAAGAGCAUCUGUCCCUCUAUCCAGAUUACCUACGACCUUGUCUAAGAAGAGUUCCCAAGAAUCACUAUCAAUUCUUCCACUUGCCAUGGCCAUCGAAACAACCUUUUCUAUUUCUUCUUCCAUCCCCUUUGCACAUAACUCCUCAAUCAACAAAGCAUAAGUGGAUUUAUUAGGCACGCAUCCUUUAUCCAACAUCUCCUCAAGAAUCCUAAUAACCUCCUUAGCAUUUCCAACCUUAGAAAUCCCCUUAAUCAGCAUAUUAUAUGUAAAAGCAUUAGGCUUGCAACCCUUUUCCACCAUAUCAUCCCAUAACCUUCCCGCCUCACUCAACUCUCCUCUCUCACACAUCCCCGCGAUAAGCGUAUUAUAUGUCAAAAGACUUGGGAUCGAACCCCGCUCAAACUCACCAAACAGUUUCCUUGCUUCCCAUACCUUCCCCUCCUUACAAAGCCAAUGUAUGAGUGUGCUCGUUAUUGCAUUAUCUGGCGUGCAGUUCUUCUCUAACAUCCUCUUCCACAAUUCACAAGCCUCGUCUACCUUCUUCCCGUCUUCACACAACACAUCAAUAACCUUGCAACAAAGAGCAGAGCUCGGUAUAUACUUUCUCUCGAGCAUAUCAUCAAGCAUGUUACGUGCUUCACCUGCUUUCUUCUCUUUGCAAAAUGCCUCGAUCAUAACCCCAUAAGUAACAUCAUUUGGCUCCACACCAUUCUCAUCCAUAUUAUCCAUGAUUUUAAUAGCAUCGACUAAUCUUCCUUGUUUACAAUACCCGUCCAUCAAGAUCGUAUAUGUUAUUGCGUCUGGCAACCACCCUCUAUCGAAAAGGUCACCAAAAACCCUCUUAGCAUUAACCAUAUCACCACGCGAAGCGUAACCACCUAAAAUUGUUGUAUAAGUGACGACAUUUGGGAUCAUACCCAUGGCGGGCAUUUCGUCUAAAACCUUAGUUGCACCUUCCAUGUCAUUCUUCUUACAAAGUGCCUUAAUCAAAAUGUUACAAGUGAAAACAUUAGGCACAACUCCAUACUUGCUCCGGCAAUUCUUGAACACAGCGUGCACUAAAUCAUACCGUUUGUUUUGCACGAAAGCAUUCAAUAGUGUAUUUAGCGAUCUCACUGAACGCUGUACUUUAAAAUCUUGGAUGCGGAUAAAAGUUUUGAGGGCCAAGUCGGGCUUGCCGGAAAGGCCGUAGUUGCGGAUAACAGUGAUGAACAUAUUUUCUCCACAUUUGAUUUUGGCUUUGUGCAAGUCAAAAAGCAAGUCUUCCACGGGGCCAAAGGCGCGAGCUCGAGAGAGCUUAUGAAUAAUGGAAUCAUAGGUGUCGUAAUUGUGGGAGAAACCGGGGUGAUAUUUGCCAGCGUAGUCGAAGAUUUGGAGGGCAAGAUCCAGAUUUUGUUGGCGGGUGAUCAUCGAGACGAGGCGUUUAGGGUAGAGGCGUUGGGGCCAGGGCUUGAUUGGAGGUGUGACUGUGUACGAUUCAGGAAGACGGGUGGUGGGAUUGGCGGUGGAAAGGGAACGUGUAGUGGUCAUUGGAUGGAGGAGGACGGCGGUUGUUAUUUUUUGACGGUGGUGAGACGCAGAGGAACGGAGCAUUGUUGAGAAGAGACGCCUCGUGUUAGCAGAGGAUGAAACAUAAAGUUUUGAAACGCGAUGGAGCAGACGCCGCGUAGGCUAAAAGGGGUAUCUUUAAAUUUUAAUAUUUGGAUGGUCCAAAAUCAACCCCAGAAUUCAGAAAUUUUGCAAUUUUUCAGCACCUGCUCUACAUACACGUGUUGGUUACCAAACAGAAAAUUUCUAUUUGUAUGUUUAUAACUGAUGAUUCGUGUUCUUUUUGAGUUUAGUUUCGUAAUUCAAACAGCAAAAUGUAA